This 75-nucleotide transfer RNA is filed under the name Deltaproteobacteria bacterium. Its description in RNAcentral is "tRNA-Glu". It matches the Rfam family "tRNA". Rfam says of the family: Transfer RNA (tRNA) molecules are approximately 80 nucleotides in length. Their secondary structure includes four short double-helical elements and three loops (D, anti-codon, and T loops). Lineage: Bacteria; Pseudomonadati; Myxococcota; Myxococcia. The record is from RNAcentral.
GGGGCGUUCGUCUAGCGGUUAGGACACUGGCCUCUCACGUCGGAAACACGGGUUCGAUUCCCGUACGCCCUACCA